This 253-nucleotide ribosomal RNA is filed under the name uncultured bacterium. RNAcentral's name for it is "partial 16S ribosomal RNA". It matches the Rfam family "Bacterial small subunit ribosomal RNA", at positions 524 to 776 of the family's 1533-position model. The record is from RNAcentral.
UACGAAGGGUGCAAGCGUUACUCGGAAUUACUGGGCGUAAAGCGUGCGUAGGCGGUUUGUUAAGUCCGUUGUGAAAGCCCUGGGCUCAACCUGGGAAUUGCAGUGGAUACUGGCGAGCUAGAGUGCGGUAGAGGAUGGUGGAAUUCCCGGUGUAGCGGUGAAAUGCGUAGAGAUCGGGAGGAACACCCGUGGCGAAGGCGGCCAUCUGGACCAGCACUGACGCUGAGGAGCGAAAGCGUGGGGAGCAAACAGG